CCUACGGGUGGCAGCAGUGAGGAAUAUUGGUCAAUGGGCGCGAGCCUGAACCAGCCAAGUCGCGUGAGGGAAGACGGUCCUAUGGAUUGUAAACCUCUUUUGUCGGGGAGCAAAAGACGCCACGCGUGGUGCUCUGAGAGUACCCGAAGAAAAAGCAUCGGCUAACUCCGUGCCAGCAGCCGCGGUAAUACGUAGGGUGCAAGCGUUAUCCCGAUUUACUGGGUGUAAAGGGUGCGUAGACGGAGGCGCAAGUCUGGAGUGAAAUGCCGGGGCCCAACCCCGGAACUGCUCUGGAAACUGUGAAGCUUGAGUGCAGGAGGGGUAAGCGGAAUUCGUGGUGUAGCGGUGAAAUGCGUAGAUAUCAGGAGGAACACCGGCGGCGAAGGCGGCUUACUGUACUGUAACUGACGUUGAGGCUCGAAGGCGUGGGGAGCAAACAGGAUUAGAUACCCGAGUAGUC
Molecule: ribosomal RNA, 460 nt
Filed under: uncultured bacterium
Lineage: Bacteria
Description: partial 16S ribosomal RNA
Rfam family: Bacterial small subunit ribosomal RNA
Source: RNAcentral